UUCCUAUUCUAUAGACUUCUUGACUUCUCCGUUCCUGUUUUCCCCAUCCAUCUCCUCCGAUCCCCUUUCUCUUUUCCUAAAUCUUGCUUCUAACUCUAAAAUUGCUGCUGCUGGAUAUCUCCCAUCAGCUUUCUUUGCUGAUUCGCUUCAUGGAGGUUUAUCUUCCUCACCUGGAGCCACCCUCGCAGCUGGUUAUGGCACAUGUUCAGCAUGGACGGCGGCUUGUGUUUGUCCUCCUACGCCUCUUCGGUCGCCUAGGCUUGUAAAGGGCGGCGGCGGCGUCCGUGUAAUCUCUUUGGUCGUUGAUUUCAUCUCCUGCGGACCUGCAGCCCUCUUGCAUGUAGCUUGAGUAUGAGAUUGCUGGCUACGUUUUCUUUCACAAGUGCGUAAAGCAGACACAUCGUUUCAAUUUCUGCUCGAGGUAGCCCGGCACAUCAUCCUAAUCCUUCAUAGUGGUAACAUUCUUCAAAGUUCGACCUGAAGGUCCCUAUUUUUCCUUUUCUGACUCUGUAAUUUAUCCCCUUUUUCUUAUCUUUUUCCUAUGGUUGUGCGGUUGAAACAAUAUAAUGUAAUCAACGAAAUGACUUUUAGUGGUAAACAUUUCAUAAUUUUUCUUUCUAAUCUCGGAAAAACAUAUGUUUUUUUGUAAGUGCUCUAUAACUGUUGAAUAAGGUAGUACACAGUAGCUAGUAAUAAGUUCAUGAAAAAUUUAAAAUUUACUUAUAUGUAUGAGCAGACAUACCAAUCAAAAUUAGUACUAUAUCGGUAUAUUAAUUUAUACUAAUCCAAAUUAGAACACGGAAUGGAACUUUGUGUUUAUCUUAAAAACAAUACAAGAAAGUAUGUACUUUUGACCUCACUGCUAGAUUUGUUUCUUUUCACAACUCUUCAUGGUUUCUCGUCGGUAGGUCCUUUUGACAUGUGUAUAGUUUUGUUCGCAAUCUUUAUCUGAAUCAUCCUCUUUGGUAAUUAUAUUUGAACCUGCAGCUCAAAUGUUCCGUACCUCCUUGUCAAAUAGAUUUUCCAGUUUUUUGUCGGUGGCAUCAUGAAAUAAUAGUAGUAUUAAUAUAUACAGAAGAGGGAAAAUAAUUUGAACGAAUACCUAUCGAACAGAUUUUUCUCUAUAAGAACUUUAUGUUAUUUCACGAAGCCUUUCUUUUCAAAUCCUGUUUACAUCUCUUACGUUUUGUCUCUCGUUUUAUCUUCUGCGAAACAGUUUUUGCCUCUGCCUGUGUGGUUUGUGAUGUCAUAAAUAAAUACACCGUAAAAACUAUUAAUGCAUAUACAGGGUGACAAUGUUUUCAAUUUGUUACCUUGUCAUCAGGAGCUUCAGUUUUAACAAUUGGUUUUCUGCUAUUUCUGGAAGCAAACAUUGACACAUCUUUUUCAUAUUUUUGAUAGACUUCUGUCUCUUUGUCCUCCAUUGUUGUUUUUUGUUAGAUGAUUUAGAAGUUACCUUUCUGCACAUAUCUUUCUUCUCAUCUUUUGUCGCAGUCUUGGAAGAGUGGUUGCCCGAUAAUUUUUAUUUUUUUAAUAUUUUAAAGAAAAAUGUGCACACUUGUGAUAGCUAAACCAUUAGUUAGUGGCAAUACCUCAUUAUAUGACUUCUGUGUAAUAGAAUUUGAAGAACCCUGUGUAUCUUACCUUUCCAGUAUGCCCUAUAAAGAACGUACUGACUUUAUAAGUUCAUAAACCAUUUAAAAUACUAAAAUGUGCAUGUGCAUACCUCUUCAACUAUUUCAUUUGAAUAUUCCAUCUCAAGUUUGUUGUCAACUUCAAAAGUGAAGCUCGCUUUAAAAUAUUCCAUGCACUCUUGUAGAUUCCUUUAAUAUGAAAUAGCCAACUAUAGCCCCACUAUAGCUGAUGUGAAGGACUGCUGCUAUUUGGCAUAGCCCGCUAUUUGAUACAUUGGUUCAUACCUAAGCACUGUUUAUCUAUAUUCACCCUACUCUACAAGGUAUCACUAUCAGCAAAUUCAAAGUGGUAGUCUAAAAACUUGGAUUUUUCUCCAUCCACUUCCUUCACUGUUGUAUAAAAAGAAACUGAUUUUAAGAUUGUUCUUCAAUGGUCGAUAUUUUUCAUACUUCCAGACUUUGAAGGUCUUAGCUAUGUAGAUGGAGUCCUCUUUAAUUUUUGCUUUAAAUUUAUUGACCAGUUUGCUCCCAAUAGAAGCAUGGAUCACAUUGCCCUACAUAGAGAUAAAACAUUAGCAAAUUUUGGUAAAGGAAAACUAAAGAGACAUUAUAUAUGUAAUACUUGCACCUUAUAUAGAAAAAUCAAUCAGUGCUAAUGAGUUCAUUAGUCAAUAAGUUAAUUGUGUCCUAAAGUCUUACAACUUUGAUUGUCCAUGUCUCGUUUCGUGUAGUCAAUGCAUUCAAUGGUGUAGGUGCCAUAGUCUUUCAGGCCCUAAAAGUAUAAGAACUUAAAGUUGAUUGGUAAAGUAAUAUAAUGCCAUGCAAGCUUUAUAAUUACGGAAAAAUAUUGUUGCAACUGCCCCCAGUGAUUGUGUGACAACAAAAAAGAUUGAAGAUUUUUUAGACUGGAAUAGAUAUAUGAAAUCAUAGUAGAUUAAUAAAUACAAUUUUAUUAACAGCUGGUCUGAAAUUUUUGUUUCAGAUGUAGCUGCUGGCAUUACGACAGGAACCCACUAUCGAAUUUGAGAUUGUACUUACUUGAUAUGGUCUGAUUGCUCGACGGAGCUGGCUUGUGCCCGCUGGAGGAAGACAAUUCCGAAGUGCCACUGGUUGUUGGAAGUGGACCUCGAAGUGUUGUUCGUCAGAGGAAGAUAAUGUAGAAAUUGUACCCUAAAACCUAGAGGACAAUGAACCUCUGAGGCUUUUCAGAUUGUACUUACUUGAUAUGGUCUGAUUGCUCGACGGAGCUUGCUUGUGCCCGCUGGAGGAAGACAAUUCUUAAGUGCCACUGGUUGGGAAAAGUUGAUCUCAAAGUGUUGUUCGCCAAAGGAAGAUGAUGUAGAAAUUGUACCCUAAAACCUAGAGGAUAAUGAACCUCUGACGCCGUGGAAGCAUUGCAUCGGGAGGUAGUUUAGGGAUGGCUGAGUUUACCAAGUUUGCACGAUGGAAAGAGAGAUAUUAUGUUUGCAGCGAUUGAAUCUUUGAACAUUAUUGAUGAUAGUUUGGAUUUGUUU
Long non-coding RNA from Triticum aestivum (bread wheat), 3148 nucleotides. RefSeq lists it as uncharacterized. The record is from RefSeq and is a predicted model, not a curated record. NCBI's taxonomy places the organism in Eukaryota, Viridiplantae, Streptophyta, Magnoliopsida, Poales, Poaceae. The transcript is spliced from 2 exons.